CGAGUGGCGGACGGGUGAGUAACGCGUGGGUAACCUGCCUUACACAGGGGAGUAACACCUGGAAACAGGUGCUAAUACCGCAUAAGCGCACAGGGCCGCAUGGCCCGGUGUGAAAAACUCCGGUGGUGUAAGAUGGACCCGCGUCUGAUUAGCUUGUUGGCGGGGUAGAGGCCCACCAAGGCGACGAUCAGUAGCCGGCCUGAGAGGGUGGACGGCCACAUUGGGACUGAGACACGGCCCAAACUCCUACGGAAGGCAGCAG
Molecule: ribosomal RNA, 262 nt
Filed under: uncultured bacterium
Lineage: Bacteria
Description: partial 16S ribosomal RNA
Rfam family: Bacterial small subunit ribosomal RNA
Source: RNAcentral